This is a long non-coding RNA of Thalassophryne amazonica, 288 nucleotides long. RefSeq lists it as uncharacterized. The transcript is spliced from 3 exons. The record is from RefSeq and is a predicted model, not a curated record. NCBI's taxonomy places the organism in Eukaryota, Metazoa, Chordata, Actinopteri, Batrachoidiformes, Batrachoididae.
UAAAUGCAAUUUGAGCGACAUAACACCUCCAAACUGACCUGUAUUGUUGACCUGUUACGAUGUUUAAAGCUUAAAACAAUUUUCUUGAGGUAAUUAUUGAUAAAGUUUUCAUAAAAUCAAAGAAAACAGUGUAUAACAGUGUUGGCACAGUCGUGAUACAUGGUAUACAACUUCAUAUUCAUGAUAUUCAUGCAUUGCACAGUGCAUGGCACUCUGCAAAAGACAUCAGUUUAUCGCCCAAAAGUCACGGAGAGUUACAAAAAUAAGACAGAAUAAUUACUUAUGGAA